RNAcentral lists this ribosomal RNA (234 nucleotides) under Vibrio cholerae. RNAcentral describes it as "partial 16S ribosomal RNA". It matches the Rfam family "Bacterial small subunit ribosomal RNA", at positions 1277 to 1510 of the family's 1533-position model. Lineage: Bacteria; Pseudomonadati; Pseudomonadota; Gammaproteobacteria; Vibrionales; Vibrionaceae. The record is from RNAcentral.
GAAAACCGAUCGUAGUCCGGAUUGCACUCUGCAACUCGAGUGCAUGAAGUCGGAAUCGCUAGUAAUCGCAGGUCAGCAUACUGCGGUGAAUACGUUCCCGGGUCUUGUACACACCGCCCGUCACACCAUGGGAGUGGGGGAUACCAGAAGUAGGUAGGGUAACCGCAAGGAGCCCGCUUACCACGGUAUGCUUCAUGACUGGGGUGAAGUCGUAACAAGGUAGCCGUAGGGGAA